This is a long non-coding RNA of Apis dorsata (giant honeybee), 289 nucleotides long. RefSeq lists it as uncharacterized. NCBI's taxonomy places the organism in Eukaryota, Metazoa, Arthropoda, Insecta, Hymenoptera, Apidae. The record is from RefSeq and is a predicted model, not a curated record. The transcript has 3 exons.
AAGUUAUGGCAUAAAAUAUUGAAAUUCAGCUAAAAUAUAUCAUUAUAUAGUAGUUACAUUAGCCGCCAUAUUGAUUUCUUUCACUACCUGAGUUUAUAGAAACAGUAGAUAUUAAAUUCAUGGAAUGUUCAACUUGCUAUGGAUAAAUACAUCUCAAAAUAUUCGCAAACAUUGGUUACCAACAUUAGCAAUAAUAUGCAUGUGAUGUCAUUAGAAGAGGAAACAAGAUUUUUUUUGUAUUAGUAAACGACUAAAUAGAAUGAUAAUAAAUGAUAUCACAGAGAAUAUG